AGUCACUGUGCACUUACUCCCCAUGUAGGAUCUCUGUCCUUAAUGUGUUGUACUAUGCAAAUUAACGUUUCAACAAGCUACUUCUACAACACAAACACUGAGCACACCAAAUCUUGCAAGUCAAUGUUUACAUUACAUUCUACGGCGUGUGUUUUGCAAUGCUCACAGUUUAAAAUGAGCUGCAGGCUCACCAAAGGAGAAGUAACAGAGAAAGAAAGUCAGUGGAUAACAAAGACAAAGGAAGAAAAGGCAAAAAUCUCAGGAGAAAGUUGAGGGUAAAGAAGAGGAAAGUGGGUCAACUCAUUUUAUGGGACAUCCUCACCUCUGAAGAAUCAGGGAUACCUGAAAAAGUCAUCUCCCAGGGAAUGUGCUUAAAUUUUUGAAAAUUAAAGAUCCAGUCAA
Molecule: non-coding RNA, 402 nt
Organism: Oryctolagus cuniculus (rabbit)
Lineage: Eukaryota; Metazoa; Chordata; Mammalia; Lagomorpha; Leporidae
Source: RefSeq, a predicted model, not a curated record